This 253-nucleotide ribosomal RNA is filed under the name uncultured bacterium. RNAcentral's name for it is "partial 16S ribosomal RNA". It matches the Rfam family "Bacterial small subunit ribosomal RNA", at positions 524 to 776 of the family's 1533-position model. The record is from RNAcentral.
UACGGAGGGUGCGAGCGUUGUUCGGAAUCACUGGGCGUAAAGGGCGUGUAGGCGGUCCGCUAAGUCUGAUGUGAAAGCCCGGGGCUCACCCCCGGAAGGGCAUUGGAAACUGGCGGACUCGAGUCCCGGAGAGGAGGGUGGAAUUCCUGGUGUAGCGGUGAAAUGCGUAGAUAUCAGGAAGAACACCCGUGGCUAAGGCGGCUCUCUGGUCCGGUACUGACGCUGAGACGCGAAAGCGUGGGGAGCGAACAGG